AACGAACGCUGGCGGCAUGCCUAACACAUGCAAGUCGAACGAGACCUUCGGGUCUAGUGGCGCACGGGUGCGUAACGCGUGGGAACCUGCCCUUAGGCUCGGAAUAACUCCCCGAAAGGGGUGCUAAUACCGGAUAAUGUCUUCGGACCAACGAUUUAUCGCCUUUGGAUGGGCCCGCGUUGGAUUAGCUAGUUGGUAGGGUAAAAGCCUACCAAGGCGACGAUCCAUAGCUGGUCUGAGAGGAUGAUCAGCCACACUGGGACUGAGACACGGCCCAGACUCCUACGGGAGGCAGCAGUGGGGAAUAUUGGACAAUGGGCGAAAGCCUGAUCCAGCAAUGCCGCGUGAGUGAUGAAGGCCUUAGGGUUGUAAAGCUCUUUUACCCGGGAUGAUAAUGACAGUACCGGGAGAAUAAGCUCCGGCUAACUCCGUG
Molecule: ribosomal RNA, 433 nt
Filed under: uncultured bacterium
Lineage: Bacteria
Description: partial 16S ribosomal RNA
Rfam family: Bacterial small subunit ribosomal RNA
Source: RNAcentral